RNAcentral lists this ribosomal RNA (450 nucleotides) under uncultured bacterium. Its description in RNAcentral is "bacterial SSU rRNA". It matches the Rfam family "Bacterial small subunit ribosomal RNA", at positions 29 to 524 of the family's 1533-position model. The record is from RNAcentral.
AACGAACGCUGGCGGCAGGCCUAACACAUGCAAGUCGAGCGCUCCCUUCGGGAAGAGCGGCGGACGGGUUAGUAACGCGUGAGAAUCUGCCUGUGGGUCGGGGACAACCACUGGAAACGGUGGCUAAUACCGGAUGAGCCGAAAGGUAAAAGAUUUAUUGCCCACAGAUGAGCUCGCGUCUGAUUAGCUAGUUGGUAAGGUAAAAGCGUACCAAGGCGACGAUCAGUAGCUGGUCUGAGAGGAUGAGCAGCCACACUGGGACUGAGACACGGCCCAGACUCCUACGGGAGGCAGCAGUGGGGAAUUUUCCGCAAUGGGCGAAAGCCUGACGGAGCAAGACCGCGUGGGGGAGGAAGGUUUUUGGAUCGUAAACCCCUUUGUCAAGGAAGAAGCUCUGACGGUACUUGACGAAUAAGCCUCGGCUAACUCCGUGCCAGCCGCCGCGGUAAU